Long non-coding RNA from Bombina bombina (fire-bellied toad), 1043 nucleotides. RefSeq lists it as uncharacterized. The transcript has 2 exons. NCBI's taxonomy places the organism in Eukaryota, Metazoa, Chordata, Amphibia, Anura, Bombinatoridae. The record is from RefSeq and is a predicted model, not a curated record.
AGGUUCAUGCUGUUUAAGGAUCCCUGAGCUGGCCAUGCACAGAUUAAAAGUCAGCCAUGCGGUAACACAGCGGGCCGUGAGAGCAGGGCAAAGUAUGGAUCGUGGUGUCAGGUUCCAGGUGCUGAAGUUCUGUACUUUCUGGGCUCCACCAUGUUGGACCACACAUUUGUGCACACUGUGACAGAAGCAGUGCAUAUUCACAUAUUCAGUGACAUUGGAGGAUUUUUAACAGAUGAAACUUGCACUUCAGUUUUGCUUGCACAAAAGGAAAGUGGAAGCAUUACAUAUUGUAGCUUUUUCCCCCACACUUUAAUAGUUACAAAACACAUAUAAAAAAAGACGUCAGGAACAAUAUAGAGCAGUCAUAUAAAAAAUGUACAGCUCCCACUGUGUACUGUCCACAUUAAACUGAAUUGCAUCAUAUGGCUUUUAAUAAAGACAUCAAUUGGUUGGUAUUAUUCAAUCUCUGCCACUAGUAAGCACAUCAGACAGGGGGGAGACCUAAGAUAAUAUUCCAAUGCCAAUCUGUAGUUUUACAAAGGUAACAACAAUUGUUCUUUUUUCUUUAUUCUCAUUAAAUAGUGUUUUGUAUUACUAUAGAUUUGCUCCUUUCAACUGUUCAGUAUAUCUGUAAUGAUUGGAAGGUCUCUCUGCCACUUGAUGGCUAAUAGGUUUAAUAUAGACUUGCAUAAUUUGUCCCAUGUAGCAUAGUAACAUAGUAACAUAUUAGAUGAGGUUUAAAAAAGACCGAAGUCCAUCAAGUUCCAGUUGAUCUUAAAUUAAUCCCACUAAAAGGUGACCCAUUUAAUACAAGCAAUCAUAUCCAUGAAUUUUGUUUCUAGCCAGAAAUGUAUUCAAACAAUUUUUAAAUGUAUCUAGGGUAUUGGCAUUUACUACCUCCUUUGGUAAUGAGUUCCACGAUUUUAUUGCUCUUACAGUGAAAAAACGUUUUCGUUGCAGUAGAUUAAAUCUCCUUUCCUCCAACCUUAAAUUGUGACCUCUUGUCACAAUCAAUUUUCUUGGAAUAAACAGAGCUUCUGCCA